RNAcentral lists this ribosomal RNA (253 nucleotides) under uncultured bacterium. RNAcentral's name for it is "partial 16S ribosomal RNA". It matches the Rfam family "Bacterial small subunit ribosomal RNA", at positions 524 to 776 of the family's 1533-position model. The record is from RNAcentral.
UACAGAGGUCCCAAGCGUUGUUCGGAUUCACUGGGCGUAAAGGGUGCGUAGGUGGUGAGGUAAGUCGGAUGUGAAAGCUCGGAGCUCAACUCCGAAGUGGCAUUGGAAACUACCUUGCUCGAGGGUUGGAGGGGGGACUGGAAUGCUUGGUGUAGCAGUGAAAUGCGUAGAUAUCAAGCGGAACACCAGUGGCGAAGGCGAGUCCCUGGACAACUCCUGACACUGAGGCACGAAAGCUAGGGGAGCAAACAGG